Molecule: ribosomal RNA, 464 nt
Filed under: uncultured bacterium
Lineage: Bacteria
Description: partial 16S ribosomal RNA
Rfam family: Bacterial small subunit ribosomal RNA
Source: RNAcentral
GACGAACGCUGGCGGCGUGCUUAACACAUGCAAGUCGAACGGAAAGGCCCUGCUUGCAGGGUACUCGAGUGGCGAACGGGUGAGUAACACGUGGGUGAUCUGCCCUGCACUUCGGGAUAAGCUUGGGAAACUGGGUCUAAUACCGGAUAGGAGCCAUCUUUAGUGUGGUGGUUGGAAAGUUUUUUCGGUGUAGGAUGAGCUCGCGGCCUAUCAGCUUGUUGGUGGGGUAAUGGCCUACCAAGGCGGCGACGGGUAGCCGGCCUGAGAGGGUGUACGGCCACAUUGGGACGGGGAUACGGCCCAGACUCCUACGGGGGGCAGCAGUGGGGAAUUUUGCACAAUGGGCGCAAGCCUGAUGCAGCGACGCCGCGUGGGGGAUGAAGGCCUUCGGGUUUUAAACCCCUUUCGCUGGGGACGAAGCUUUUUGUGCCGGUACCUAGAUAAAAAGCCCCGGCUAACUCCGU